RNAcentral lists this ribosomal RNA (593 nucleotides) under Salmonella enterica. RNAcentral describes it as "partial 23S ribosomal RNA". It matches the Rfam family "Bacterial large subunit ribosomal RNA", at positions 2211 to 2803 of the family's 2925-position model. Lineage: Bacteria; Pseudomonadati; Pseudomonadota; Gammaproteobacteria; Enterobacterales; Enterobacteriaceae. RNAcentral also lists the same sequence under 1 other name. The record is from RNAcentral.
UGUUUGAUGUUCUAACGUGGACCCGUAAUCCGGGUUGCGGACAGUGUCUGGUGGGUAGUUUGACUGGGGCGGUCUCCUCCUAAAGAGUAACGGAGGAGCACGAAGGUUGGCUAAUCCUGGUCGGACAUCAGGAGGUUAGUGCAAUGGCAUAAGCCAGCUUGACUGCGAGCGUGACGGCGCGAGCAGGUGCGAAAGCAGGUCAUAGUGAUCCGGUGGUUCUGAAUGGAAGGGCCAUCGCUCAACGGAUAAAAGGUACUCCGGGGAUAACAGGCUGAUACCGCCCAAGAGUUCAUAUCGACGGCGGUGUUUGGCACCUCGAUGUCGGCUCAUCACAUCCUGGGGCUGAAGUAGGUCCCAAGGGUAUGGCUGUUCGCCAUUUAAAGUGGUACGCGAGCUGGGUUUAGAACGUCGUGAGACAGUUCGGUCCCUAUCUGCCGUGGGCGCUGGAGAACUGAGGGGGGCUGCUCCUAGUACGAGAGGACCGGAGUGGACGCAUCACUGGUGUUCGGGUUGUCAUGCCAAUGGCACUGCCCGGUAGCUAAAUGCGGAAGAGAUAAGUGCUGAAAGCAUCUAAGCACGAAACUUGCCCCGAG